UACAGAGGGGGCUAGCGUUGUUCGGAAUUACUGGGCGUAAAGGGCGCGUAGGUGGCCUGUUAAGUCGAACGUGAAAUCCCCGGGCUCAACCCGGGAACUGCGUCCGAGACUGGCAGGCUCGAAUCCGGGAGAGGGAUGUGGAAUUCCAGGUGUAGCGGUGAAAUGCGUAGAUAUCUGGAGGAAUACCGGUGGCGAAGGCGGCAUCCUGGACCGGCAUUGACGCUGAUGAGCGAAAGCUAGGGGAGCAAGCGGG
RNAcentral lists this ribosomal RNA (253 nucleotides) under uncultured bacterium. Its description in RNAcentral is "partial 16S ribosomal RNA". It matches the Rfam family "Bacterial small subunit ribosomal RNA", at positions 524 to 776 of the family's 1533-position model. The record is from RNAcentral.